Molecule: unclassified non-coding RNA, 374 nt
Filed under: uncultured bacterium
Lineage: Bacteria
Description: contains 16S-23S intergenic spacer region
Source: RNAcentral
UCGCGGCUUAUCACCGGCAGUCCCCUUAGAGUGCCCAACUGAAUGAUGGCAACUAAGGACAGGGGUUGCGCUCGUUGCGGCACUUAAGCCAACACCUCACGGCACGAGCUGACGACAGCCAUGCAGCACCUGUGCUAGCCCCUUGCGGACACGGGCUUUCACCCGCUUUAACUAGCAUGUCAACCCAGGUAAGGUUCUUCGCGUUGCAUCGAAUUAAGCCACAUGCUCCGCCGCUUGUGCGGGUCCCCGUCAAUUCCUUUGAGUUUUAGCCUUGCGGCCGUACUCCCCAGGCGGAGUGCUUAAUGCGUUAGCUUCGGCACAGGGGGGGUCGAUACCCCCUACACCUAGUACCCAUCGUUUACAGCGUGGACUAC